This 830-nucleotide ribosomal RNA is filed under the name uncultured bacterium. Its description in RNAcentral is "bacterial SSU rRNA". It matches the Rfam family "Bacterial small subunit ribosomal RNA", at positions 583 to 1410 of the family's 1533-position model. The record is from RNAcentral.
UCGCNUCUGCUGUGAAAGGCUGGGGCUUAACCCUGGUUUUGCAGNGGGUACGGGCUAACUAGAGUGCAGUAGGGGAGACUGGAAUUCCUGGUGUAGCGGUGAAAUGCGCAGAUNUCAGGAGGAACACCGAUGGCGAAGGCAGGUCUCUGGGCUGUAACUGACGCUGAGAAGCGAAAGCAUGGGGAGCGAACAGGAUUAGAUACCCUGGUAGUCCAUGCCGUAAACGUUGGGCACUAGGUGUGGGGGACAUUCCACGUUUUCCGCGCCGUAGCUAACGCAUUAAGUGCCCCGCCUGGGGAGUACGGCCGCAAGGCUAAAACUCAAAGAAAUUGACGGGGGCCCGCACAAGCGGCGGAGCAUGCGGAUUAAUUCGAUGCAACGCGAAGAACCUUACCAAGGCUUGACAUAUACUGGACUGCGUCAGAGAUGGCGUUUCCCUUCGGGGCUGGUAUACAGGUGGUGCAUGGUUGUCGUCAGCUCGUGUCGUGAGAUGUUGGGUUAAGUCCCGCAACGAGCGCAACCCUCGUUCUAUGUUGCCAGCACGUGAUGGUGGGGACUCAUAGGAGACUGCCGGGGUCAACUCGGAGGAAGGUGGGGAUGACGUCAAAUCAUCAUGCCCCUUAUGUCUUGGGCUUCACGCAUGCUACAAUGGCCGGUACAGAGGGUUGCGAUACUGUGAGGUGGAGCUAAUCCCUAAAAGCCGGUCUCAGUUCGGAUUGGGGUCUGCAACUCGACCCCAUGAAGUCGGAGUCGCUAGUAAUCGCAGAUCAGCAACGCUGCGGUGAAUACGUUCCCGGGCCUUGUACACACCGCCCGUCAAGUCACGAAAG